CUCUUAUUGGAUCAUCAUGUUUACCGACGAAUUCGUCUUUAGUAAUUAACCUACUAGAAGAUGUGAAGCGUAGCUUUGCUAUUUCUACGAAUAUAAAGGAGCCUGUUUCGGUAGAAUUACUGCAUAUAAUGUGGGUUGCUAUGUUUUCUUUUGGUGACUUGUAUAAUCAGCGUAUUUAAUAUUUGUACGUGUUUCAUUGCUUUUGCGAGUUUAUGAGUUGGUUUAUAUUCGACGAAGUGAUUAUUUUAAGUUAUUUUAGAUCACUAUUUGUCUUUUGUCAUUUAACGUAUCAAAACAGACGUAUACAGAUUGAGAGAUGGCG
Molecule: long non-coding RNA, 322 nt
Filed under: Mytilus galloprovincialis (Mediterranean mussel)
Lineage: Eukaryota; Metazoa; Mollusca; Bivalvia; Mytilida; Mytilidae
Source: RNAcentral